AGCGAACGCUGGCGGCAGGCUUUACACAUGCAAGUCGAACGCCCCUUCGGGGGAGUGGCAGACGGGUGAGUAACGCGUGGGAAUUUGCCUUUUGGUGGGGAAUAACGCAGGGAAACUUGCGCUAGUACCGCAUAAGCCCGUGAGGGGAAAGAUUUAUCGCCAAAAGAUAAGCCCGCGUCUGAUUAGCUAGUUGGUGAGGUAAUGGCUCACCAAGGCGACGAUCAGUAGCUGGUCUGAGAGGAUGACCAGCCACACUGGGACUGAGACACGGCCCAGACUCCUACGGGAGGCAGCAGUGGGGAAUAUUGGACAAUGGGCGCAAGCCUGAUCCAGCCAUGCCGCGUGAGUGAUGAAGGCCUUAGGGUUGUAAAGCUCUUUUGUGUGGGAAGAUAAUGACUGUACCACAAGAAUAAGCCCCGGCUAACUUCGUGCCAGCCGCCGCCGUAA
Molecule: ribosomal RNA, 447 nt
Filed under: uncultured bacterium
Lineage: Bacteria
Description: partial 16S ribosomal RNA
Rfam family: Bacterial small subunit ribosomal RNA
Source: RNAcentral